AUUUGGGAAGAUGAAAAUUAGUGUCUUAGAACAAAGGCCAUGGGAACCUGGUGGAAAAACGAAAAAGCCAAACUCUUCAUUGACCCUAGAGCUAGGGUCCAAGAUUUGUUUCCAUGGUUUUUCCGAUAAUGCCUUCCAUGCCUAUUGUUCUCAUAUAUGCUUCUUCAUUUUCCAUUUGGUU
Molecule: microRNA precursor, 181 nt
Filed under: Sorghum bicolor (sorghum)
Lineage: Eukaryota; Viridiplantae; Streptophyta; Magnoliopsida; Poales; Poaceae
Description: pre miRNA MIR2118
Source: RNAcentral